RNAcentral lists this long non-coding RNA (775 nucleotides) under Gallus gallus (chicken). Its description in RNAcentral is "long non-coding RNA NONGGAT004100". Lineage: Eukaryota; Metazoa; Chordata; Aves; Galliformes; Phasianidae. The record is from RNAcentral.
GAGAUGAGGGUAUUUCUACUGCUUGGACUUGCAGCAGGGAGAAGCAGAUGGUCCUCAUUUCAUCAUGGGCUGCAAUACAUCUAACAGGGUUGCUGCAGCACAGCUGUCUUCUGAGGAGCUACAGAACAACCAUGAAGCCAGAAGCCAGACUCCAAGUGGCAGCGUUGACAGAACAUGGGCUGCCACCUCACAGGAGGGGGCAGCUUGGACAAGGGGCACUUCAGAGAACGGAAGCAAACUUGAAGUUGAAGCCAGAGAGGGAGACUUUCCUGAGAGAUCAACAGAAGGAUUUGCACCUUCUGAAAAAAGCAGCAACACACAAAGCACAGGUUAGGGAAAAGGAACUACGCAGGACACCACAACACACUGCAUCUUAUCCAGCAACGGACCACCAAACUACAGGUAAACAGACUGAAAAGGACUGCCCAAGUUUUCAAAGUCAAGAAAGCACAGAUGUCCCUCAGUCGUCACCUUUACAUGGUGAGAUAAGCGUACCGCUGCAGGAAAUAACUGCAGAAGAAACCACCAAUUAUUACACUGAGGACUUUACCAUUGAGUCUGAUAUAACUUACAACUGUAUCGAUGAAACAAUCUGGAUCUAAGCCAUCCUGCAAAGAAGGAGCCUCUCUGCUCCCUGCUGCUGUUUACCUCGGGGCUUAAGUAGAUGAUUUAUCCUGAGCUGAUGGUUGUGGUUACCUGUUACACCUUGGAAAACUCUAAUUUCACAUUUUUACACACUAGUUGGAGGAAACAAAAUAAAUAAGAAAAGCAAGAG